AGAGUUUGAUCCUGGCUCAGAUUGAACGCUGGCGGCAGGCCUAACACAUGCAAGUCGAGCGGAAACGAUACCAGCUUGCUGGUAGGCGUCGAGCGGCGGACGGGUGAGUAAUACUUAGGAAUCUACCUAGUAGUGGGGGAUAGCUCGGGGAAACUCGAAUUAAUACCGCAUACGACCUACGGGAGAAAGGGGGCAGUCUACUGCUCUCGCUAUUAGAUGAGCCUAAGUCGGAUUAGCUAGAUGGUGGGGUAAAGGCCUACCAUGGCGACGAUCUGUAGCUGGUCUGAGAGGAUGAACAGCCACACCGGGACUGAGACACGGCCCGGGCUCCUACGGGAGGCAGCAGUGGGGAAUAUUGGACAAUGGGGGAAACCCUGAUCCAGCCAUGCCGCGUGUGUGAAGAAGGCCUUUUGGUUGUAAAGCACUUUAAGCAGUGAAGAAGACUCCUCGAUUAAUACCCGUGGACGAUGACAUUAGCUGCAGAAUAAGCACCGGCUAACUCUGUGCCAGCAGCCGCGGUAAUACAGAGGGUGCAAGCGUUAAUCGGAAUUACUGGGCGUAAAGCGAGCGAAGGUGGCUUGAUAAGUCAGAUGUGAAAUCCCCGGGCUUAACCUGGGAACUGCAUCUGAAACUGUUAGGCUAGAGUAGGUGAGAGGAAGGUAGAAUUCCAGGUGUAGCGGUGAAAUGCGUAGAGAUCUGGAGGAAUACCGAUGGCGAAGGCAGCCUUCUGGCAUCAUACUGACACUGAGGCUCGAAAGCGUGGGUAGCAAACAGGAUUAGAUACCCUGGUAGUCCACGCCGUAAACGAUGUCUACUAGUCGUUGGGUCCCUUGAGGACUUAGUGACGCAGCUAACGCAAUGAGUAGACCGCCUGGGGAGUACGGCCGCAAGUUAAAACUCAAAUGAAUUGACGGGGGCCGCACAGCGGUGGAGCAUGGUGGUUUAAUUCGAUGCAACCGCGAAGAACCUUACCUGGUCUUG
This 981-nucleotide ribosomal RNA is filed under the name uncultured bacterium. Its description in RNAcentral is "bacterial SSU rRNA". It matches the Rfam family "Bacterial small subunit ribosomal RNA", at positions 8 to 983 of the family's 1533-position model. The record is from RNAcentral.